Molecule: ribosomal RNA, 754 nt
Filed under: uncultured Diversispora
Lineage: Eukaryota; Fungi; Glomeromycota; Glomeromycetes; Diversisporales; Diversisporaceae
Description: SSU rRNA
Rfam family: Eukaryotic small subunit ribosomal RNA
Source: RNAcentral
GCCUACCAUGGUUUUAACGGGUAACGGGGAAUUAGGGUUCGAUUCCGGAGAGGGAGCCUGAGAAACGGCUACCACAUCCAAGGAAGGCAGCAGGCGCGCAAAUUACCCAAUCCCGACACGGGGAGGUAGUGACAAUAAAUAACAAUACGGGGCUCAUUUGGGUCUCGUAAUUGGAAUGAGUACAAUUUAAAUCCCUUAACGAGGAACAAUUGGAGGGCAAGUCUGGUGCCAGCAGCCGCGGUAAUUCCAGCUCCAAUAGCGUAUAUUAAAGUUGUUGCAGUUAAAAAGCUCGUAGUUGAACUUCGGGGUCUACCCAUUGGUCAGGCUUAAUUGUCUGCACUGGUGAGAUGGAUCUCUACCUUCUGAGGAACUUUCAUGCCAUUUAUUUGGUGUGAUGGGAAAUCAGGACUGUUACUUUGAAAAAAUUAGAGUGUUUAAAGCAGACUAUCGUCUGAAUACAUUAGCAUGGAAUAAUGAAAUAGGACGGACUGAUUCUAUUUCGUUGGUUUCUAGGAUCACCGUAAUGAUUAAUAGGGAUAGUUGGGGGCAUUAGUAUUCAAUUGUCAGAGGUGAAAUUCUUGGAUUUAUUGAAGACUAACUACUGCGAAAGCAUUUGCCAAGGAUGUUUUCAUUAAUCAAGAACGAAAGUUAGGGGAUCGAAGACGAUCAGAUACCGUCGUAGUCUUAACCAUAAACUAUGCCGACUAGGGAUCGGACGAAGUUAAUUUUAUAAUGACGCGUUCGGCACCUUACG